This 492-nucleotide ribosomal RNA is filed under the name uncultured bacterium. Its description in RNAcentral is "partial 16S ribosomal RNA". It matches the Rfam family "Bacterial small subunit ribosomal RNA", at positions 29 to 507 of the family's 1533-position model. The record is from RNAcentral.
AGUGAACGCUGGCGGUAGGCCUAACACAUGCAAGUCGAACGGCAGCACAGUAAGAGCUUGCUCUUACGGGUGGCGAGUGGCGGACGGUUGAGGAAUACAUCGGAAUCUCCUUUUUCGUGGGGGAUAACGUAGGGAACCUUACGCUAAUACCUCAUACGACCUCCGGUUGAAAGCAGGGGAUCUUCGGACCUUGCGCGAUUGAAUGAGCCGAUGUCGGAUUAGCUAGUUGGCGGGGUAAAGGCCCACCAAGGCGACGAUCCGUAGCUGGUCUGAGAGGAUGAUCAGCCACACUGGAACUGAGACACGGUCCAGACUCCUACGGGAGGCAGCAGUGGGGAAUAUUGGACAAUGGGCGCAAGCCUGAUCCAGCCAUACCGCGUGGGUGAAGAAGGCCUUCGGGUUGUAAAGCCCUUUUGUUGGGAAAGAAAAGCAGCAGGUUAAUACCCCGCUGUUCUGACGGUACCCAAAGAAUAAGCACCGGCUAACUUCGUG